RNAcentral lists this ribosomal RNA (1035 nucleotides) under marine metagenome. RNAcentral describes it as "bacterial SSU rRNA". It matches the Rfam family "Bacterial small subunit ribosomal RNA", at positions 296 to 1336 of the family's 1533-position model. The record is from RNAcentral.
GGGGGAUCCCCCCACCACUGGUACUGAGACACGGACCAGACUCUACGGGAGGCAGCAGUGAGGAAUAUUGGACAAUGGAGGCAACUCUGAUCCAGCCAUGCCGCGUGUAGGAUGACUGCCCUAUGGGUUGUAAACUGCUUUUAUACAGGAAGAAACACCUCUACGUGUAGAGGCUUGACGGUACUGUAAGAAUAAGGAUCGGCUAACUCCGUGCCAGCAGCCGCGGUAAUACGGAGGAUCCAAGCGUUAUCCGGAAUCAUUGGGUUUAAAGGGUCCGUAGGUGGAUAAUUAAGUCAGAGGUGAAAUCUUGCAGCUCAACUGUAAAAUUGCCUUUGAUACUGGUUAUCUUGAGUUAUUAUGAAGUAGUUAGAAUAUGUAGUGUAGCGGUGAAAUGCAUAGAUAUUACAUAGAAUACCAAUUGCGAAGGCAGAUUACUAAUAAUCAACUGACACUGAUGGACGAAAGCGUGGGUAGCGAACAGGAUUAGAUACCCUGGUAGUCCACGCCGUAAACGAUGGUUACUAGCUGUUUGGACUUCGGUCUGAGUGGCUAAGCGAAAGUGAUAAGUAACCCACCUGGGGAGUACGUUCGCAAGAAUGAAACUCAAAGGAAUUGACGGGGGCCCGCACAAGCGGUGGAGCAUGUGGUUUAAUUCGAUGAUACGCGAGGAACCUUACCAGGGCUUAAAUGUAAGUUGCAUUAGUUAGAGAUAGCUAUUUCUUCGGACCACUUACAAGGUGCUGCAUGGUUGUCGUCAGCUCGUGCCGUGAGGUGUCAGGUUAAGUCCUAUAACGAGCGCAACCCCUGUUGUUAGUUGCCAGCGAGUCAUGUCGGGAACUCUAGCAAGACUGCCAGUGCAAACUGUGAGGAAGGUGGGGAUGACGUCAAAUCAUCACGGCCCUUACGUCCUGGGCUACACACGUGCUACAAUGGUAGGUACAGAGAGCAGCCACUGCGCGAGCAGGAGCGAAUCUAUAAAACCUAUCACAGUUCGGAUCGGAGUCUGCAACUCGACUCCGUGAAGCUGGAAUCGCU